Molecule: transfer RNA, 93 nt
Filed under: Clytia hemisphaerica
Lineage: Eukaryota; Metazoa; Cnidaria; Hydrozoa; Leptothecata; Clytiidae
Description: tRNA-Tyr for anticodon GUA
Rfam family: tRNA
About the family: Transfer RNA (tRNA) molecules are approximately 80 nucleotides in length. Their secondary structure includes four short double-helical elements and three loops (D, anti-codon, and T loops). Further hydrogen bonds mediate the characteristic L-shaped molecular structure. tRNAs have two regions of fundamental functional importance: the anti-codon, which is responsible for specific mRNA codon recognition, and the 3' end, to which the tRNAs corresponding amino acid is attached (by aminoacyl-tRNA synthetases). tRNAs cope with the degeneracy of the genetic code in two manners: having more than one tRNA (with a specific anti-codon) for a particular amino acid; and 'wobble' base-pairing, i.e. permitting non-standard base-pairing at the 3rd anti-codon position.
Source: Rfam by way of RNAcentral
CCACCGAUAGCUCAGUUGGUAGAGCGGAGGACUGUAGAUGAUUAUCGCAUAGCAGAGAUCCUUAGGUCACUGGUUCAAAUCCGGUUCGGUGGA